Molecule: ribosomal RNA, 210 nt
Filed under: Phlebopus portentosus
Lineage: Eukaryota; Fungi; Basidiomycota; Agaricomycetes; Boletales; Boletinellaceae
Description: partial 25S ribosomal RNA
Source: RNAcentral
UCAAAAGCAUUAGCAAAAGGGACGUGUUCGUCGCAUGAACUGACGGCCUUCGACGUGAUAAUGAUCGUCGUGGCUGGAGGGAAAAGUGUGAUGGCGAAGGUCUGUCCUAGCUUCUAAUCAAAGGCGAGGGGCUUGUGUCACGCAUGCCCUCUGUCUUAUCGAACCUUGACCUCAAAUCAGGUAGGACUACCCGCUGAACUUAAGCAUAUC